RNAcentral lists this long non-coding RNA (456 nucleotides) under Nicotiana benthamiana. RNAcentral's name for it is "long non-coding RNA (NBEN_LNC026616)". The record is from RNAcentral. Lineage: Eukaryota; Viridiplantae; Streptophyta; Magnoliopsida; Solanales; Solanaceae.
UCCAUAAGGAUAUUUCUAAUUAAAGCCACUUAUAUAUAUCGGACAUAUUUCUGCAGAAUGUUCUCAGCACCAAGUUUCUUAGGAGCUUCAUCUAAUUUAAAACUAUGAUAUGGUUUUAUUUACCUCCCAUUAUGUCCUCAUUUUGUGUGACAGAUUUGAGCCAUUUCAUACCUGAUUAUAACUGCAUGCCAUUUACCUUGUUAAGUUUCUAAAAUCCCCUUAAGCCAUUUCAUACCUGAUUAUAAUUGCAUGCCAUUUACCUUGUUAAGUUUCUAAAAUCCCCUUGGAUUUACCGGUAAGUAGCGAGAAGGAGUGUGAUUUUGUUGAUAUUACUGUGGUGAAACUUGUCCAAUCUAGUUUACAAAGCUCUGUAACCUUAUAUGCUAGUGGCUCACUGUACCUUAAAUUUAUUAUAUUUACAUUUCUCUCUGCAGUUAAGAUUCUUUCAAGUGUAUG